AGUGAACGCUGGCGGUAGGCCUAACACAUGCAAGUCGAACGGCAGCACAGUAAGAGCUUGCUCUUACGGGUGGCGAGUGGCGGACGGGUGAGGAAUACAUCGGAAUCUACUUUUUCGUGGGGGAUAACGUAGGGAAACUUACGCUAAUACCGCAUACGACCUACGGGCGAAAGCAGGGGAUCUUCGGACCUUGCGCGAUUGAAUGAGCCGAUGUCGGAUUAGCUAGUUGGCGGGGUAAAGGCCCACCAAGGCGACGAUCCGUAGCUGGUCUGAGAGGAUGAACAGCCACACUGGAACUGAGACACGGUCCAGACUCCUACGGGAGGCAGCAGUGGGGAAUAUUGGACAAUGGGCGAAAGCCUGAUCCAGCCAUACCGCGUGGGUGAAGAAGGCCUUCGGGUUGUAAAGCCCUUUUGUUGGGAAAGAAAAGCAGCAGGUUAAUACCCCGCUGUUCUGACGGUACCCAAAGAAUAAGCACCGGCUAACUUCGUG
This 492-nucleotide ribosomal RNA is filed under the name uncultured bacterium. RNAcentral's name for it is "partial 16S ribosomal RNA". It matches the Rfam family "Bacterial small subunit ribosomal RNA", at positions 29 to 507 of the family's 1533-position model. The record is from RNAcentral.